CUGGAAUCGCUAGUAAUCGCGGAUCAGAAUGCCGCGGUGAAUACGUUCCCGGGUCUUGUACACACCGCCCGUCACACCAUGGGAGUCAGUAACGCCCGAAGCCGGUGACCCAACCUAAUCAGGAGGGAGCCGCCGAAGGCGGGACGGAUGACUGGGGUGAAGUCGUAACAAGGUACC
This 177-nucleotide ribosomal RNA is filed under the name uncultured bacterium. RNAcentral describes it as "partial 16S ribosomal RNA". It matches the Rfam family "Bacterial small subunit ribosomal RNA", at positions 1326 to 1500 of the family's 1533-position model. The record is from RNAcentral.